Molecule: ribosomal RNA, 207 nt
Filed under: uncultured bacterium
Lineage: Bacteria
Description: partial 16S ribosomal RNA
Rfam family: Bacterial small subunit ribosomal RNA
Source: RNAcentral
CUCGUAGGCGGUUUGUCGCGUCGGGAGUGAAAACUCAGGGCUUAACCCUGAGCCUGCUUCCGAUACGGGCAGACUAGAGGUAUGCAGGGGAGAACGGAAUUCCUGGUGUAGCGGUGAAAUGCGCAGAUAUCAGGAGGAACACCGGUGGCGAAGGCGGUUCUCUGGGCAUUACCUGACGCUGAGGAGCGAAAGUGUGGGGAGCGAACA